This 215-nucleotide long non-coding RNA is filed under the name Panax ginseng (ginseng). RNAcentral describes it as "long non-coding RNA (PGIN_LNC016930)". Lineage: Eukaryota; Viridiplantae; Streptophyta; Magnoliopsida; Apiales; Araliaceae. The record is from RNAcentral.
UAGCUAGUAGUAAAACAAAUGGAGUAAUAUAUGAGAGCAGAUCUUUUAUUCCUAAUUUUUUUGUCUUUUUGUGUUUAUUCUAUUUAAAUUUUGAUAUCAAGUCUCUUAUUUAAUAUCAAUUAAUUCUAAAAUUAAAUAAAAAAGACAUAUAUCAAAAUUUAAAUAAAAAAACAGAAAAAUUAGAGACAGAAAAUCUGCUCAUAUAUAGGAGCCAC